ACUCCUGCGGGAGGCAGCAGUGGGGAAUUUUGGACAAUGGGCGAAAGCCUGAUCCAGCCAUGCCGCGUGCAGGAUGAAGGCCUUCGGGUUGUAAACUGCUUUUGUACGGAACGAAACGGCCUUUUCUAAUAAAGAGGGCUAAUGACGGUACCGUAAGAAUAAGCACCGGCUAACUACGUGCCAGCAGCCGCGGUAAUACGUAGGGUGCAAGCGUUAAUCGGAAUUACUGGGCGUAAAGCGUGCGCAGGCGGUUAUGUAAGACAGUUGUGAAAUCCCCGGGCUCAACCUGGGAACUGCAUCUGUGACUGCAUAGCUAGAGUACGGUAGAGGGGGAUGGAAUUCCGCGUGUAGCAGUGAAAUGCGUAGAUAUGCGGAGGAACACCGAUGGCGAAGGCAAUCCCCUGGACCUGUACUGACGCUCAUGCACGAAAGCGUGGGGAGCAAACAGGAUUAGAAACCCUGGUAGUCCC
Molecule: ribosomal RNA, 470 nt
Filed under: uncultured organism
Description: partial 16S ribosomal RNA
Rfam family: Bacterial small subunit ribosomal RNA
Source: RNAcentral